This 442-nucleotide ribosomal RNA is filed under the name uncultured bacterium. Its description in RNAcentral is "partial 16S ribosomal RNA". It matches the Rfam family "Bacterial small subunit ribosomal RNA", at positions 338 to 795 of the family's 1533-position model. The record is from RNAcentral.
CCUACGGGUGGCAGCAGUAGGGAAUCUUUCACAAUGGGCGAAAGCCUGAUGGAGCAACGCCGCGUGCAGGAUGAAGGCCUUCGGGUUGUAAACUUCUUUUGACAGGGAAGAGCAGAAGACGGUACCUGUCGAAUAAGCCACGGCUAACUACGUGCCAGCAGCCGCGGUAAUACGUAGGUGGCAAGCGUUGUCCGGAUUUACUGGGUGUAAAGGGCGUGUAGCCGGGCUGACAAGUCAGAUGUGAAAUCCGGGGGCUCAACCCCCGAACUGCAUUUGAAACUGUUGGUCUUGAGUAUCGGAGAGGCAGGCGGAAUUCCUAGGGUAGCGGUGAAAUGCGUAGAUAUUAGGAGGAACACCAGUGGCGAAGGCGGCCUGCUGGACGACAACUGACGGUGAGGCGCGAAAGCGUGGGGAGCAAACAGGAUUAGAUACCCGGGUAGUC